This 2047-nucleotide long non-coding RNA is filed under the name Phoenix dactylifera (date palm). RNAcentral describes it as "long non-coding RNA (PDAC_LNC011779)". The record is from RNAcentral. Lineage: Eukaryota; Viridiplantae; Streptophyta; Magnoliopsida; Arecales; Arecaceae.
GACCCGACCCGACCCGACCCGAUCUUCAACCGGGUCGGGUCUGGGUCCAAAAUUAGGACCCGAACAAAAAAUCGGGUCGGAUCGGGGUCACUCAGGACCCAACCCGACCCGAUCCAUUUACACCCCUACCUGUAUUAAAUCUCAAUGCUCAGAUAGUGCCAUGCGCCCAAUUUACCUCACAUAUAAUGCUUCUUUUUCUAGCUUCAUGUUACUCUUCUUCUAUUAUGUGGAGCUCGCCCUAAGCUUUGAAGGCAUGUCUCCCAAAAUUCUAAAGCAAAUCUUAAUAUUAAAAUCUACAUGAAACAACAAAGAACUAAACCACAUGUUUUAAUCAAGAAAUACAAAUUUUCUAGUACCGACAAGUUUAGAUACAAAUACAUCAAGACCAUUUUUUUCUUUCAGGUGACCAUUCAGAAGAACAGGCCAGAGAUGUCUGCAUGAUGCAUACUGAGAGCUCUGUGCUUGUGCCCACAAGAGGUCCUUGAUCUUCUUGCAGUGCAUGCAGCAUGAAAUCCUCAAUUAAGAAAAUGCUCCUGGAUUCAAUAUCUUUAGCAAUAAGUGAUCUCACACACCUCCAUCAAGGACUCUCUCAAAGUUCUGGAUUCCUGAAAUGAUUUAGUCCCUAAUGUCCAUAACAAAGUGCAGUUGGGAUCCUUCCUGCUGUACAAGCCAUUACCUUUGUAAAAAUAUUUGGAAAAAAAAAUGUGAACAUAAAAAUGAGAGCCUACUUCAUAGCCAUAUAAAAAGGUUCUUUGGAGGAACAUUAGUAAUUACAGUUACAGAAGUAUUUAACUCAGCCGGAGUAAUAUUCACAUCUUGUAUUAGGUUCUCAGCCAACUAAUAAGGGCACCUUAAAAGCAUGAACCAACCAUCCACCACCACCAGAUAAUCGAUGACAACUACGAAAACUAUCAGCUUGUUUUUCAGAUUGAUUCCUUUUCUUUUUUUCUUUUUCUUUUCUCAUUAACAAAAAUUGAGCGACCGCGUGAAGUGCUAGGAUGUGCAGCGAGAUAAUACAAAAUUAGUGAAUAUUUUCACCAACAAGGGUAACAUCCAUUUGAUCAUAAAUUUCUCCAUGCCUGCUCCAACUAGCCAUGCUGAAAUAUGAUUUCUGACAGAUCAUCGAGGAGACAGAUUUUUUUUCUUAUUUUCAAGAUAUUACAAGCAGUAAUUGAAUUCCAAAACGUCACUUUUAUAAGAAUUACCAUACUGUCCGACACUACCAGGGCAAAGAUGAGCAAGGGAAUAAAUUUUGAAAUGGUACCACAAAACAUCUUGGCUGUAGAAAUCUCUAAGAACAAAGUGAGUCGAAGCAACUAAAAUGCAAAUCCAUAAGCUCUGUAACCUUUCGCAUAUGCAAUAUACCAGCUCAGAGCUCUGUGACAUUUAGGAUAUGCAAUUUCUCUGUCACCACCUCUCUUCUAACAAGCGGAUGAAAUUGGAUCAAGUCAAAAUCUGUCCUAAAAGUUCACAUAUUUUAUUGUAUUGCAUCUAAAGGAAUUCAAAAGGUUUAAUUUACUCUGCUCUAGAUCUGCCAUAGGAAAUUUACAACGAAAAGAAACCAAGCGAUCAAAAAAAAAUGGGGGGAUUCCCUGCAAAAUCUUAAUAGCUAUACAAUCCGUAACAAAAUUUAUGCAAAUAUUCAAAUACCGAGAAGUUUUACGGGAACGGCACGGAUUUCUGAUAGCCGAUGGCGCAAUCCUCCCCUUCUUCCUCAGGUCUCUCUCCCUCCGAAAGGAUCGGUAUGGGGAAGAAAGAGUAGGAUAGCGGAGGCCGCGCCGGCGGGACACCGGCGGCGGCGGAGCACGGCGGGUGGAGCCGACCGACGGCGGAGGUGCCGCAGCGAAGGGGAAAUCGCGAAGAGGACGGUCAAGGAAAUGUCGUGUGGAGCCUCGAACACCGUCUCCCGGCGGCUGCGGAACACGGCGGGGUGGAGCGCAUCGACGGCGGAGGUGGAGCAGCGGAUGGGAAAUCGCGAAGAGGACGGGACACGGGAAUGUCGCGUGGAGCCUCGAACACCGUACAAAAAUGUUAGAAAAGGGCUAAU